RNAcentral lists this ribosomal RNA (523 nucleotides) under uncultured bacterium. Its description in RNAcentral is "partial 16S ribosomal RNA". It matches the Rfam family "Bacterial small subunit ribosomal RNA", at positions 28 to 523 of the family's 1533-position model. The record is from RNAcentral.
GACGAACGCUGGCGGCGUGCCUAAUACAUGCAAGUCGAGCGCAGGAAAUCGACGGAACCCUUCGGGGGGAAGUCGACGGAAUGAGCGGCGGACGGGUGAGUAACACGUAAAGAACCUGCCCUCAGGUCUGGGAUAACCACGAGAAAUCGGGGCUAAUACCGGAUGGGUCAUCGGACCGCAUGGUCCGAGGAUGAAAGGCGCUUCGGCGUCGCCUGGGGAUGGCUUUGCGGUGCAUUAGCUAGUUGGUGGGGUAAUGGCCCACCAAGGCGACGAUGCAUAGCCGACCUGGGAGGGGGAUCGGCCACACUGGGACUGAGACACGGCCCAGACUCCUACGGGAGGCAGCAGUUGGGAAUCUUCCACAAUGGACGAAAGUCUGAUGGAGCAACGCCGCGUGAACGAUGAAGGCCUUCGGGUCGUAAAGUUCUGUUGUAAGGGAAGAACAAGUGCGCAGGCAAUGGCGGCACCUUGACGGUACCCUGCGAGAAAGCCACGGCUAACUACGUGCCAGCAGCCGCCGUAA